RNAcentral lists this ribosomal RNA (251 nucleotides) under uncultured prokaryote. RNAcentral's name for it is "partial 16S ribosomal RNA". It matches the Rfam family "Bacterial small subunit ribosomal RNA", at positions 525 to 775 of the family's 1533-position model. The record is from RNAcentral.
ACGUAGGAGGCGAGCGUUAUCCGGAUUUACUGGGCGUAAAGCGCGCGCAGGCGGAUGGGUAAGGGAUGCGUGAAAGCGCCUGGCUCAACUGGGCGAGGACGUAUCCGACUGCCUAUCUUGAGAAGGCUAGAGGCAGGCAGAAUUCCGGGUGGAGUGGUGAAAUGCGUAGAUAUCGGGAGGAACACCAGUGGCGAAAGCGAUUUUCUGGAUCGUUUCUGACGCUCAGACGCGAAAGCUAGGGUAGCAAACGG